Suncus etruscus (white-toothed pygmy shrew) is the source of this 107-nucleotide small nuclear RNA. The record is from RefSeq and is a predicted model, not a curated record. NCBI's taxonomy places the organism in Eukaryota, Metazoa, Chordata, Mammalia, Eulipotyphla, Soricidae.
GUGCUCGCUUUGGCAGCACAUAUACUAAAAUUGAAAUGAUACAGAGAAGAUUAGCAUAGUCCCUAUGCAAAGAUGACAUGCAAUUUUCCCAUCAAUUCUUUAUAUUC